GUCGAGAAUCUUUCACAAUGGGGGCAACCCUGAUGGAGCGACGCCGCGUGAGUGAUGAAGGCCUUCGGGUCGUAAAGCUCUGUCGCAGGGGAAUAACACAAUGAAGGUACCCUGCUAGAAAGGAUCGGCUAACUUCGUGCCAGCAGCCGCGGUAAGACGAGGGAUCCUAGCGUUGUUCGGAAUUAUUGGGCGUAAAGCGGGUGCAGGUGGCUUGGUAAGUCAGAUGUGAAAGCCUGGGGCUUAACCCCAGAAGUGCAUUUGAUACUGCUGAGCUUGAGUGCUGGAGAGGCUAUUAGAAUUCCUGGUGUAGUGGUGAAAUACGUAGAUAUCAGGAGGAAUACCGGAGGCGAAGGCGGAUAGCUGGCCAGACACUGACACUCAGACCCGAAAGCGUGGGGAUCAAACAGGAUUAGAUACCCGUGUAGUCC
This 428-nucleotide ribosomal RNA is filed under the name uncultured bacterium. RNAcentral describes it as "partial 16S ribosomal RNA". It matches the Rfam family "Bacterial small subunit ribosomal RNA", at positions 354 to 796 of the family's 1533-position model. The record is from RNAcentral.